Molecule: ribosomal RNA, 253 nt
Filed under: uncultured bacterium
Lineage: Bacteria
Description: partial 16S ribosomal RNA
Rfam family: Bacterial small subunit ribosomal RNA
Source: RNAcentral
UACAGAGGGUGCUAGCGUUGUUCGGAAUCAUUGGGCGUAAAGCGCGCGUAGGCGGCCCUGUAAGUCCGCUGUGAAAGUCAAAGGCUCAACCUUUGAAAGCCGGUGGAUACUGCAGGGCUAGAGUCCGGAAGAGGAGAGUGGAAUUCCCGGUGUAGCGGUGAAAUGCGCAGAUAUCGGGAAGAACACCCGUGGCGAAGGCGGCUCUCUGGAACGCAACUGACGCUGAGACGCGAAAGCGUGGGGAGCAAACAGG